GGGCCGGUAGCUCAGCCUGGAAGAGCGCUCGGCUUGCAACCGAGAGGUCCCCGGGUUCAAAUCCCGGCCGGUCCA
Molecule: transfer RNA, 75 nt
Filed under: Metallosphaera sedula
Lineage: Archaea; Thermoproteati; Thermoproteota; Thermoprotei; Sulfolobales; Sulfolobaceae
Also listed under: 7 other names
Description: tRNA-Ala (TGC) (tRNA-Ala-TGC-1-1)
Rfam family: tRNA
About the family: Transfer RNA (tRNA) molecules are approximately 80 nucleotides in length. Their secondary structure includes four short double-helical elements and three loops (D, anti-codon, and T loops).
Source: RNAcentral